Molecule: long non-coding RNA, 282 nt
Filed under: Nicotiana benthamiana
Lineage: Eukaryota; Viridiplantae; Streptophyta; Magnoliopsida; Solanales; Solanaceae
Description: long non-coding RNA (NBEN_LNC007491)
Source: RNAcentral
UCUCAAAAGCAUCCUACGGAUUUUCUCGUGGGAUCAAAUUGCCGAAAUAACAUCAUAUUCAAUGAAUCAAGCCUUAGAAUAAUCACUCUCAUUUCAAGCCUUUUUACACUUCUAACUCUAGAUAUUUAGGUCCGAAACACGUCAAACGACGUCCGAUUUCGAUCAAAUUUUACAAGAAGCGCUUAACGCAUAUUUAAGAUAUGCACCGGGUGCCGGAACCCAAAUAGGGGCCCGAUACCAAUAUUUUCUAACUCAUUUUCUUUUCAAAAUUCCAUAUCAUUU